UACGUAGGGGGCUAGCGUUGUCCGGAAUCAUUGGGCGUAAAGCGCGUGUAGGCGGUCCGGUAAGUCCGCUGUGAAAGUCGGGGGCUCAACCCUCGGAUGCCGGUGGAUACUGUCGGGCUUGAGUACGGAAGAGGCGAGUGGAAUUCCUGGUGUAGCGGUGAAAUGCGCAGAUAUCAGGAGGAACACCAAUUGCGAAGGCAGCUCGCUGGGACGGUACUGACGCUGAGGCGCGAAAGCGUGGGGAGCAAACAGG
RNAcentral lists this ribosomal RNA (253 nucleotides) under uncultured bacterium. RNAcentral describes it as "partial 16S ribosomal RNA". It matches the Rfam family "Bacterial small subunit ribosomal RNA", at positions 524 to 776 of the family's 1533-position model. The record is from RNAcentral.